CGAGCGCCGUUGGACUACUAAGGCUCUGCCUUGCGGUGGCUGCUCCCUUCGGUCGGCGAUGACGGGAAGGACGGCCCAAACCCAUGGGCGUCUCGGUGACCCGUCCAGCGUAGCAAGUCUCUCGCUGUCACGGGGCCGCCGCGGCGCCACUACAACGAACACUUGGCCUCGGAUCAGGUAGGGAUACCCGCUGAACUUAA
This 200-nucleotide unclassified non-coding RNA is filed under the name soil metagenome. RNAcentral's name for it is "partial contains internal transcribed spacer 2 and large subunit ribosomal RNA". The record is from RNAcentral.